CGUUAGACGGCGGACGGGUGAGUAACACGUGGGUAACCUACCUAUAAGACUGGAAUAACUCCGGGAAACCGGGGCUAAUGCCGGAUAAUAUUUAGAACCGCAUGGUUCUAAAGUGAAAGAUGGUUUUACUAUCACUUAUAGAUGGACCCGCGCCGUAUUAGCUAGUUGGUGGGGUAAUGGCUUACCAAGGCAACGAUACGUAGCCGACCUGAGAGGGUGAUCGGCCACACUGGAACUGAGACACGGUCAGACUCCUACGGGAGGCAGCAGUAGGGAAUCUUCCGCAAUGGGCGAAAGCCUGACGGAGCAACGCCGCGUGAGUGAUGAAGGUCUUCGGAUCGUAAAACUCUGUUAUUAGGGAAGAACAAAUGUGUAAGUAACUGUGCACGUCUUGACGGUACCUAAUCAGAAAGCCACGGCUAACUACGUGCCAGCAGCCGCGGUAAUACGUAGGUGGCAAGCGUUAUCCGGAAUUAUUGGGCGUAAAGCGCGCGUAGGCGGUUUCUUAAGUCUGAUGUGAAAGCCCACGGCUCAACCGUGGAGGGUCAUUGGAAACUGGGAAACUUGAGUGCAGAAGAGGAAAGUGGAAUUCCAUGUGUAGCGGUGAAAUGCGCAGAGAUAUGGAGGAACACCAGUGGCGAAGGCGACUUUCUGGUCUGUAACUGACGCUGAUGUGCGAAAGCGUGGGGAUCAAACAGGAUUAGAUACCCUGGUAGUCCACGCCGUAAACGAUGAGUGCUAAGUGUUAGGGGGUUUCCGCCCCUUAGUGCUGCAGCUAACGCAUUAAGCACUCCGCCUGGGGAGUACGACCGCAAGGUUGAAACUCAAAGGAAUUGACGGGGACCCGCACAAGCGGUGGAGCAUGUGGUUUAUUCGAAGCAACGCGAAGAACCUUACCAAAUCUUGACAUCCUUUGACAACUCUAGAGAUAGAGUCUUCCCCUUCGGGGGACAAAGUGACAGGUGGUGCAUGGUUGUCGUCAGCUCGUGUCGUGAGAUGUUGGGUUAAGUCCCGCAACGAGCGCAACCCUUAAGCUUAGUUGCCAGCAUUAAGUUGGGCACUCUAAGUUGACUGCCGGUGACAAACCGGAGGAAGGUGGGGAUGACGUCAAAUCAUCAUGCCCCUUAUGAUUUGGGCUACACACGUGCUACAAUGGACAAUACAAAGGGCAGCUAAACCGCGAGGUCAUGCAAAUCCCAUAAAGUUGUUCUCAGUUCGGAUUGUAGUCUGCAACUCGACUACAUGAAGCUGGAAUCGCUAGUAAUCGUAGAUCAGCAUGCUACGGUGAAUACGUUCCCGGGUCUUGUACACACCGCCC
RNAcentral lists this ribosomal RNA (1318 nucleotides) under Staphylococcus cohnii. Its description in RNAcentral is "bacterial SSU rRNA". It matches the Rfam family "Bacterial small subunit ribosomal RNA", at positions 89 to 1395 of the family's 1533-position model. The record is from RNAcentral. Lineage: Bacteria; Bacillati; Bacillota; Bacilli; Caryophanales; Staphylococcaceae.